UGUUUAUAAAAAAAUAUAUAUAUAUAUUUUUCUUUAGUUUCUUAGACUUUAUUUCAAGUUUUGUGAAAAGUUACUUUGGAAGUCGUUCGGUUUCCCGAAAGGGAAACUUCACUCUGUUCUUAUAAUGCAAUGCAAUUAUCAAGAAAGCAUAUGAUAAAGCAACAAAACAUAUUGAUAUUGAAGUUGAUAAGAGGAUUCAAAUAUGGAAAGAUGGCAAAUAAAAAAACUUUGGAAGAGGAUAUUCUUGAUGUUCUUAUUAUGAUCAAAGAUACAAAUGAAUGUUAAAGAGAUUAAGGCACAAGUUCUUGUAAGUAUUUGUUGUGUUGUUUUAUCAACUUUGGAUAAUUUUAUGAUUGUAAGUAUACAUUUAAUGUUCCUCACGUGUCUGACUCUGAUACCAUCGUUGCUGAAAAGUAUUUCAUCCCUAAAGGGAGUAUAGUGUUAUUAAGUCGUCUUGGACUUGGCCAGAAUUUUAGAGUUUGGAAGGAAUCAUUAAAGUUCAAGCCAAAGUGCCAUCUCAAAGUGGAAGAUGAUGAUGAAUUAGUUCUCACUGAUUCAAACUUACAUUUGUUAUCAUUUAGUAUUGGAAGACGAGGUUGUCCAGCAGUAAAACUUGUUCAACAAUUACUUGCUAGGCUUCUUCAAGGAUUUACUUGGGCUUUACCAUCAAAUUCACCGUGCAAUGAUUUAAUUGAGUCAUCUAAGAUUAAUCAUUUUUCUACCUUACCACCAAGAUUAGCCAAGGUCAUGUAUCUUUAAGCUACAAUUUUUUUCGUAUUCAUCUAAGUCUAUAGUGCGGUUUAAAUUGUUGUAUUGUUUUUUCAUCCUAUAUAUGUAUUGACUGUGAUUUUGUUUACUUAAUUUAAUAAAGUAUGAUUUGAAUAGAA
Molecule: non-coding RNA, 887 nt
Organism: Solanum lycopersicum (tomato)
Lineage: Eukaryota; Viridiplantae; Streptophyta; Magnoliopsida; Solanales; Solanaceae
Source: RefSeq, a predicted model, not a curated record